This is a long non-coding RNA of Hordeum vulgare subsp. vulgare (domesticated barley), 390 nucleotides long. RefSeq lists it as uncharacterized. The transcript is spliced from 2 exons. Lineage: Eukaryota; Viridiplantae; Streptophyta; Magnoliopsida; Poales; Poaceae. The record is from RefSeq and is a predicted model, not a curated record.
CGAGGGAGGUGGUACCUGAUGAUCACAACAGAUGGAUUAGUUCAGUUCCAGUACAUGAUUAGUGAAGUGCAAGGGGAAACAGAUGUGGGUGACGCCAUGCAGUCCUAGAUGGGAUAAUUUUACAUUCCAACUAGGGUUGGUUUUGUGUGGUUCAUGUACCUUGGAUACUUUUCUCCCUUAGAUUAGUGUGAAGCUUGAGAUGAUAUUACCUGACAAGCACUUUUGAUGGAUGCAACGAGUUAUGUUUGCAGUUGUCGUUCAUUUUUUGUUUUGGUAUGUAUACUCGUUGCCAUCUGUUCAAAGUUUUUUUUUGAACUUGGAACACUGUGGUUCCUUUGUUCUUGAAUGUACCUAUUUAUAUUUUUCCUUUUAGUCAAACUGUUAUAGGCA